UUAAGAUAGCUUGCCUAUUUUUAUGAAGAGCGGCGAACGGGUGAGUAACGCGUGGGAAAUCUGCCGAGUAGCGGGGGACAACGUUUGGAAACGAACGCUAAUACCGCAUAACAAUGAGAAUCGCAUGAUUCUUAUUUAAAAGAAGCAAUUGCUUCACUACUUGAUGAUCCCGCGUUGUAUUAGCUAGUUGGUAGUGUAAAGGACUACCAAGGCGAUGAUACAUAGCCGACCUGAGAGGGUGAUCGGCCACACUGGGACUGAGACACGGCCCAGACUCCUACGGGAGGCAGCAGUAGGGAAUCUUCGGCAAUGGGGGCAACCCUGACCGAGCAACGCCGCGUGAGUGAAGAAGGUUUUCGGAUCGUAAAACUCUGUUGUUAGAGAAGAACGUUAAGUAGAGUGGAAAAUUACUUAAGUGACGGUAUCUAACCAGAAAGGGACGGCUAACUACGUGCCAGCAGCCGCGGUAAUACGUAGGUCCCAAGCGUUGUCCGGAUUUAUUGGGCGUAAAGCGAGCGCAGGUGGUUUCUUAAGUCUGAUGUAAAAGGCAGUGGCUCAACCAUUGUGUGCAUUGGAAACUGGGAGACUUGAGUGCAGGAGAGGAGAGUGGAAUUCCAUGUG
RNAcentral lists this ribosomal RNA (621 nucleotides) under Lactococcus garvieae. RNAcentral's name for it is "bacterial SSU rRNA". It matches the Rfam family "Bacterial small subunit ribosomal RNA", at positions 70 to 675 of the family's 1533-position model. Lineage: Bacteria; Bacillati; Bacillota; Bacilli; Lactobacillales; Streptococcaceae. The record is from RNAcentral.